GAGUUUGAUCCUGGCUCAGGAUGAACGCUAGCGGCAGGCCUAACACAUGCAAGUCGAGGGGUAACAGGGAAAGCUUGCUUUCCGCUGACGACCGGCGAACGGGUGCGUAACACGUAUGCAACCUACCUUCCACUGGGGUAUAGCCCAGAGAAAUUUGGAUUAAUCCCCCAUAGAACCAAGAGUCGCAUGGCUCAAUGGUUAAAGGAUUCCGGUGGAAGAUGGGCAUGCGUCCCAUUAGCUAGUAGGUGAGGUAACGGCUCACCUAGGCAACGAUGGGUAGGGGCUCUGAGAGGAUGAUCCCCCACACUGGUACUGAGACACGGACCAGACUCCUACGGGAGGCAGCAGUGAGGAAUAUUGCGCAAUGGACGAAAGUCUGACGCAGCCAUGCCGCGUGAAGGAUGACUGCCCUAUGGGUUGUAAACUUCUUUUAUAUACCAAGAAACCUCAGGACGUGUCCUGAGCUGACGGUAGUAUAUGAAUAAGCACCGGCUAACUCCGUGCCAGCAGCCGCGGUAAUACGGAGGGUGCAAGCGUUAUCCGGAUUUAUUGGGUUUAAAGGGUCCGUAGGUGGACCAUUAAGUCAGAGAUGAAAGCCCGCGGCUCAACCGCGGAACUGCCUUU
RNAcentral lists this ribosomal RNA (624 nucleotides) under uncultured bacterium. RNAcentral describes it as "bacterial SSU rRNA". It matches the Rfam family "Bacterial small subunit ribosomal RNA", at positions 9 to 628 of the family's 1533-position model. The record is from RNAcentral.